UCUUGAAUGUAAUAGAAUCGGGAAUAUUUCAGAACUUGAGAAAUAUAAGUACUUGGUAUCACGCACACAUCCUGGCAGCUCGCGGUGGAUUACUACAACUCGUCUAGUGCCCACGCCAACCAUCACCACGCCGGACGCAGCUCUUCACACUCAGCAGACCCACUGCCCUCGUGCAUCACGCUGAGGUCAUCCCCCGCCUGGAUGAAAGGAGAUGACAGGAGGAGCAAUGUGGAAGACACGCGUGGUAUUCGUCACUGUUUUCACCUGCGUCUUCCUGACCAGCCAUGCUUGUCAAAUCGAGAGCACAACAAGUAGAAGAGACAUCCAUGCAGAUAACGGAGAUAUUAACCAAGGACAGAGAAAAGUAAGGAUCGAUAUCUGUGCUGAAUCCAAUUAUGUAACCUUCACGGCGAGUCACCUUGAUCUCAGUAAGGACCAGUUUAGAUACAAGUUAGACUUCCUCGCGUGUGAUUAUGACACAAAAUCCAGUAACUGGGAAGACUGGAAGAGAAACAGGCUACGCAUGAGAAUUCAGGCACGCACUUACACCAAUGUGACUUUCCAAAUACGAGAAAAGACCACCGGCAAAAUAAUAGCAACAAAUUCUACAGUCACCCCUGCUACAGGCAGUCUAAGAGAAGUACGUGAAUAAAUGCAACAACGUAUGUAAUCUUGAUGCAAGUCCCUUAUAACUACCUUAGUCGUGUGUUCUCACCCCAACAGAACCUGAAGCUAGGGUGAGAAGUCUUCAGGUGUGAUUCCAGAAGAUGCACAGCUACCGUGGAAAACAAUUGCGUUAAAUAUAAUGGUUACAAUAUGAAAGUGCAAUUCAUUCUGAAGCCAUCGAGUAAGAAAGUCAAGAAUCCCCUCGUUAAAUACGGUGCCGUCAAUUCUGAGGGAAGAGCAACGAUAGCAUUAAAAGAUCUGCUGCCCUUUACGAACUACACCGUAACCGCCAACCCUGCCAACGACGUGGGCGCCGCCACCGACCCCUCCCUCACCAAAGAAACCUCCUUCAUCGCAAUUUCCCAAUGCUAUUGGAAUCCAAGGACUAGGGCAGAGAUCGACGCAAAAACAACCCUGCGCUUCACUUGGAACGGACUUCGGAGUAACAAUGACAACCCUGGUUACUACACACUCACAUUCUUGGAUGUGAAAAAUGUCACCGAUACUGAAAUCAAAUUUGCUCACCUGACUCCAGGCAAAAAGUACACGUUAGAAGUGAAGGGGUGCUUUACAACAGUGCACUGUGACAUACUGACGACACUUGAAGAAUGGACGGAACCAGAGAAGCCACGAGUGCUGGAAAAAACAGAACUCCAGACAACAACAGACACCACCAUCACCAUCCAGCUGCCCGUCCUGCAGAACCCUCCAGGAAUGCACUGGAUAUUGCUGAGGAAAUACAGCGGCGGCGGCGACGAACAUCACACAAGGAAGCAAGACACUGAGAAGAAAGCACUGGUAAUGGUUCGCACAGAAAGGGCGAAGGAAAGGAAGGAGGCGCAGGCAAGGAGGAGGAAUCGUCGUUCCGCUGAUCCAGGAGGAAAACGAUCACUCGUUGCGAAUUGUGGCUAAGAUCGAGGUGGUGGAGGAAAAGGACCCCGAGGAGUUAGUGGUGGUGGGAGGCGACUGGCAUGGAGGGAAGGGUCUGGAAAGCGACACUGAGUACAUUGUGUUCAUAGUGACGGAGACCAGGGCAGGUCCCUACAGUGAAUACUUCUCGUGCAAGCCAAGGAUUAUGAGGACAGCGAAACGGCCUAAAGAGCCCGCUUUUCUGGGGAUGACCGUGGGCCUGUGUUCUGCUGCGCUCUUCCUCAUUUGCUUCAUUGCAGCACUGGUGGUGAAACUUAAGAAAUCAAGGUCUCUUGUUGUGACACAGGCAGCAGCUUCCGGAAAAGAGUCGUUGUAACCCAGUCAACAAGGAAGGUAAGGCAUGAAGACAGGAUCAUGCGGACCAUAACUAAGGCCAGCAUUCAGAGACCCUUUGUUCUCUCACCACAGCGACUGAGGUACUGUCAAAGAAGACUACGAUAUGUUAAGACAAGUAGAAUCUACCUGCCAGAUACUAUAUAAUGGUUUAGGGAAUAGACCUUCUGUAUUAGAUAGCUAGUAUACUCAAUAAUUUUGCUCUGUAUUGAUAUCUCUGUUUCCUUAUUCUUGAAAUAAUGAAUAAAAUGCUCAGCAAGCUAUAUUCUCUGUUGUCCGUCGUAGCAAACGAUGCUGUAGUGAUUCUUUGCUCGAUGGAUUCUGUUACUACGAAACCGAGUCUUUUGUAUUGAUUCGAGUCUGUACUGGUGAUGGGUAACAAUAAACCUGGUAACUGCCA
Scylla paramamosain (green mud crab) is the source of this 2329-nucleotide RNA transcript. RefSeq lists it as uncharacterized. NCBI's taxonomy places the organism in Eukaryota, Metazoa, Arthropoda, Malacostraca, Decapoda, Portunidae. The record is from RefSeq and is a predicted model, not a curated record. The transcript has 13 exons.